UGAACGCUGGCGGCAGGCUUAACACAUGCAAGUCGAGCGGGCGAGGUUGCUUCGGUAGCUGAGCUAGCGGCGGACGAGUGAGUAAAGCUUAGGAAUCUGCCUAUUAGUGGGGGACAACAUCUCGAAAGGGAUGCUAAUACCGCAUACGUCCUAUGGGAGAAAGCAGGGGACCUUCGGGCCUUGCGCUAAUAGAUGAGCCUAAGUCGGAUUAGCUAGUUGGUGGGGUAAAGGCCUACCAAGGCGACGAUCUGUAGCGGGUCUGAGAGGAUGAUCCGCCACACUGGGACUGAGACACGGCCCAGACUCCUACGGGAGGCAGCAGUGGGGAAUAUUGGACAAUGGGGGGAACCCUGAUCCAGCCAUGCCGCGUGUGUGAAGAAGGCCUUUUGGUUGUAAAGCACUUUAAGUGGGGAGGAGGCUCUCUUGGUUAAUACCUAAGAAGAGUGGACGUUACCCACAGAAUAAGCACCGGCUAACUCU
This 480-nucleotide ribosomal RNA is filed under the name uncultured bacterium. Its description in RNAcentral is "bacterial SSU rRNA". It matches the Rfam family "Bacterial small subunit ribosomal RNA", at positions 30 to 504 of the family's 1533-position model. The record is from RNAcentral.